CUACGGGUGGCAGCAGUGGGGAAUAUUGGACAAUGGGCGAAAGCCUGAUCCAGCGACGUCACGUGAAUGAUGAAGGCCUUAGGGUUGUAAAAUUCUUUUAGUGGAGAAGAUAAUGACGGUAUCCACAGAAAAAGUCCCGGCUAACUUCGUGCCAGCAGCCGCGGUAAUACGAAGGGGGCAAGCGUUACUCGGAAUUAUUGGACGUAAAGCGUGCGUAGGCGGUUUUAUAAGUUGAAAGUGAAAGCCUUUGGCUCAACCAAAGAAUUGCUUACAAAACUGUAAAACUAGAGUAUUAGAGAGGAUAGAAGAAUUCCUGAUGUAGGGGUGAAAUCCGUAGAUAUCAGGAGGAAUAUCGAAGGCGAAAGCAUCUGUCUGGCUAAAUACUGACGCUGUUGCACGAAAGCGUGGGGAGCAAACAGGAUUAGAUACCCCUGUAGUC
This 439-nucleotide ribosomal RNA is filed under the name uncultured bacterium. RNAcentral's name for it is "partial 16S ribosomal RNA". It matches the Rfam family "Bacterial small subunit ribosomal RNA", at positions 339 to 795 of the family's 1533-position model. The record is from RNAcentral.